AACCUGGUUGAUCCUGCCAGUAGUCAUAUGCUUGCUUCAAGGAUUAAGCCAUGUAAAGUGCGAGUAAAUAACUGCACAGUUGAUCUGCGUACAGCUCACUACACCAGUCGUAAUCUACCUGCAUGAAUGACUCUGUCAUCGAGUGGAUAACUUCAGUAACUCCGAAGCUAAUACAUGGACGAGAAAUCGAGUAGCCAUUCAGCACAAGGAGUAACAUCCGAGUGUGGCUUCACGAUGCUUUUGGUCGUAAUAGAAACUGGUCAAUCAGAUUGAAUCUAUUGUGGCAUCAGACCAUUCUGUACAAGGAAACCGUUGCUUGCAACAUUCCGUGUGCGGUUGAGCGACUGACCUAUCAGCUUGUUUGCAAUGUAUUGGACUGCAGAGGCUUUGACGGGUAACGGAGAAUCAGGGUUCGAUUCCGGAGAGGGAGCCUGAGAAACGGCUGCCAUGUCUAAGGACAGCAGCAGGCGCGCAAAUUGCCCAAUACUAGCAUGAGCGAGGCAGCGACGAGAAGUAUUUACCUUGUGCUACAUUGUAUCACGAGGAUAGAAAUGGGUGAUAUCCAAAACCAUCACUGAGGAUCGAUUGGAGGGCAAGUCUGGUGCCAGCAGCCGCGGUAAUUCCAGCUCCAAUAGCGUAUACUAAUGCUGUUGCUGUUAAAAAGCUCGUAGUUCGAUAAGGAUUGAUUCUGGUUCAGAUUCAGUGCUUCGCAGCUUUGCUGCAAGUAUUCGAUGAGAUCCGCUUGGAAUUGGUUCUGCAAUGAGUGACUCGUACGGUGGAAGAGCUCUUCAUUGAGCUUGGAAACGCUUUCGCAGCCAACAUCUGCACAAGUACAGUCGUUCGUGAUACCGUGAACAAAACAGCGUGCUCAAAGCAAGUGAUUCUGCUCGAAUGUUCAAGCAUGGAAUAUCAAGGAAUCGACCGUGAGUCUAAUCUUUGCUGGUUUCUGUAUGCGUCUUGGAGAAUUGGACCUGAGAAUAUCGUGCCAUAGUCAGUUCCUCCGGGUUCUGCUGUGGUACUAAGCUCUAGUUUACCGGUAUUAACAGGGAUGAACGGAGCAGUGUGUAUUGGCUCGCGAGAGGUGAAAUUCUUAGACCGUGCCAAGACAAACGUAAGCGAAGGCAUUCUGCAAGUAUAUCUUCACUAAUCAAGAACGAGAGUGCAGGGAUCGAAGAUGAUCAGAUACCGUCGUAGUCUGCUACUGUAACAAGGUUGCUGUA
This 1220-nucleotide ribosomal RNA is filed under the name uncultured marine eukaryote. RNAcentral's name for it is "partial small subunit ribosomal RNA". It matches the Rfam family "Eukaryotic small subunit ribosomal RNA", at positions 1 to 1050 of the family's 1831-position model. The record is from RNAcentral.